CCUACGGGAGGCAGCAGUGGGGAAUAUUGCACAAUGGGCGCAAGCCUGAUGCAGCCAUGCCGCGUGUUUCCUUUCUUCCUUCUCGUUGUAUAUUACUUUCAGUCGUGUGCAUGGUGUUAAGGUUAAUAACCUUAGCAAUUGACGUUAGCGACAGAAGAAGCACCGGCUAACUCCGUGCCAGCAGCCGCGGUAAUACGGAGGGUGCGAGCGUUAAUCGGAAUUACUGGGCGUAAAGGGCACGCAGGCGGUUAAAGAAGGUGGAUGUGAAAACGACGGGCGUAACGUGGGAAUGGGAUGCAAGACAGGUGAGAUAGAGUGUUGUAGAGGGGGGUAGAAUUGGAUGUGUAGCGGUGAAAUGCGGAGAGAAGUGGAGGAAAAGGGGAGGCGAAGGAGGACAGCUGGAGAAAGACUGACGAAGAAGAGCGAAAGAGUGGGGAGCAAACAGGAUUAGAUACCCCUGUAGUC
RNAcentral lists this ribosomal RNA (465 nucleotides) under uncultured Arsenophonus sp. RNAcentral describes it as "bacterial SSU rRNA". It matches the Rfam family "Bacterial small subunit ribosomal RNA", at positions 338 to 795 of the family's 1533-position model. Lineage: Bacteria; Pseudomonadati; Pseudomonadota; Gammaproteobacteria; Enterobacterales; Morganellaceae. The record is from RNAcentral.